RNAcentral lists this transfer RNA (32 nucleotides) under Machairophyllum albidum. RNAcentral describes it as "partial transfer RNA-Leu". The record is from RNAcentral. Lineage: Eukaryota; Viridiplantae; Streptophyta; Magnoliopsida; Caryophyllales; Aizoaceae.
GAGGAAAAUCCCUCNACUUUCAAAAUCGUGAG